AUUAUGGAGGUGAGGAGGAGCCACACGGAAAUAUGCUCUUAUGAGUCGGGCCACAAAAAGUUAAAAAGUACCAUUCAGAGAAGCACAGAAACAGGCAUGGCAGCUGAAAUGAGAAAGAUGGUAAGGCAGCCGAGCCGAGAGUCUACUGAUGGCAGCAUCAACAGUUACAGCUCUGAGGGCAAGUAAGUGCUGUCAGCACGUCUGCAUGGCUGUGGAACCAGGAAUUGUGUACUAAUCAGUAAGAUAACAAAGCCACUGAGUGUUACUGUGCAGCUUCUCUAUUUAACCAGAAGUUCAACCAUCCAUUUUAAACCACCCUGAUGGCUUAUAAUUUAAUAUUUCCUGGAGUGCGACUGGGAGCUGACAGUCAAUUCAGUGAUUUUCUUGAUGGAUUGGGACCAGCCCAGCUUGUUGGCCGCCAAACCCUUGCCACCCCUGCAAUGGGUGAUAUACAAAUUGGAAUGGAGGACAAAAAGGGCCAAUUAGAAGUGGAAGUCAUUAGAGCACGAAGCCUCACACAAAAGCCUGGUUCCAAAUCUACACCUGCUCCAUAUGUCAAAGUAUAUCUUUUGGAAAAUGGGGCCUGUAUAGCCAAGAAGAAGACAAGAAUUGCACGAAAAACCCUUGAUCCUUUGUAUCAGCAGUCUCUGGUUUUUGAUGAAAGUCCACAGGGUAAAGUUCUUCAGGUGAUUGUCUGGGGAGACUAUGGCAGAAUGGACCACAAAUGCUUUAUGGGUGUGGCUCAGAUCUUGUUGGAAGAACUCGACCUGUCCAGCAUGGUGAUUGGAUGGUACAAAUUGUUCCCACCGUCCUCACUGGUGGAUCCCACACUCACUCCCCUCACCCGCCGGGCUUCCCAGUCAUCUCUGGAAAGUUCAACUGGGCCUCCCUGUAUUCGAUCAUAGUGAACUCAUACCAGAGUCAUUCCAAUAAAACUCUACUUUUCAGGAUAAUAAUCUGAACCAGAUAUUUCAUGAUCAAAAGCAUUGUUGGAGACAGACAAUCAACUUGUGUUUUGCCUGUAGUAGUUUUUCAAUAAUAUGUCCCAAUUGUUAUUUAAAACAUGGCUUCAUAUGACAGAACAAGGCAAUCUAUCAAAUUUACAGGAAGAAUCAACAUGCUGGUGAGAGUCACUGAUGCUUCUAACAAAUAGAAAAAGAGGAAACUAAAUCCACGCAUACACUUAACACACACACAUGCGCACACACACACACACACCAAAUUGAACAAACUGGAAACUCUCACUCUGUGAAAAGUUGUAUUCUACACGUUUCUGCACAGACCACAAACAGUGUUAUUUCCCUGAUGUUUGAAUUGUUUUGUUCUUUUGUGUGUUUUGUUUAUUUGUGUGUUGUUUGUUGGUUUUCGUUUCUUCAGUUUUUGUUUUGUUUUCACCACAUCUGUUAUUUCCACUAGUUUUUUUGGCUGUGUCAUGACAGGCCUCAUGAUGCUAACAGAGAUUCUUCCCUUCUUUUUUCCAAAAGCACCAAAAAAAAGGGCUGAAGUGGUCUCUGUAGUAUCUCCCCAAAGUGUUAAACAGCUACAUGAGGUGAAGCCAAGGAAGGGUUUCACUAGCUUUCAUUUUAUAGUUAUUUAAAGUCUUAUGUGUGGAAACCCAAGAGACAAAAAGUUAUCUUCCAAAAUAAAUAAUCACAGAAGUACUUUUUUAAUGAAGAGCCUAUCUGUUUGCAUUCUAGAAAAUUAAUUUAUGGUUUCCAUUGUUUUGCAUGGAAGACUUUUAAAGAAGUCAAUCUGCAACUAAUGCUGGGGACUAAAACUAACUGCAUAAUUGUACUUUGAAAACACUCCUUAUAAUGCCUUUUUCUUCCUGAUAUAAAAAAA
RNAcentral lists this small RNA (1842 nucleotides) under Pongo abelii (Sumatran orangutan). RNAcentral describes it as "processed transcript". The record is from RNAcentral. Lineage: Eukaryota; Metazoa; Chordata; Mammalia; Primates; Hominidae.